GCACUGCUGAGGAGUCCCAUAAUAGGACGAAUAUACCGUCCAGUGC
This is a non-coding RNA of Schistosoma rodhaini, 46 nucleotides long. NCBI's taxonomy places the organism in Eukaryota, Metazoa, Platyhelminthes, Trematoda, Strigeidida, Schistosomatidae. The record is from Rfam.